GUUUAUAUAUAGAUUGGAGAGAGAUAAUAUAUUUUGUACACUAAAAUUCAUCCAACUCUCAUCCUUAAGCUUCUCUCUCUAAAACCUACGAAUUAUUGUAGCAUAUCAGUCCCUAAACAAAGCCCAACCAUCACAAACAACAAAUCAGAAGCAUCAAGAAGCCAGAAAUCAAAAAUCAAGCUUGAAAAGGUAGGAAAUCCUAAAUUCUAGAAAUCCUUCGAUUCGAUGUUAAUUGAUGCAAUUGAUUGUUUAAAGUAGUGUAAUAGAGAGUCUAUUAAUGUUCUGGGUUGUAAAAUCAUGAACCCAUAACAUCAAAGUGCACGAAUUUGAAGAUUUAAACAAGUUGGAAAAACCGAAUUCUGUUAUUUUUCACCAAAUGUCAGAGGCUAUAAAUCUUUGGUCGAUCUCGAGUUUUGUUUUUUAAAAGUUGUUAUAGGUAGCCUGAUAUGUGGUCUUUAAUCUCCAAAAGGAAUAAAGUUCAUAGCUAUUGUAGAUCGGGAUUUAUAAGCGGUCAAAGUGGGUUGACCGGCAUUGACCGGCUGUUCUUCAAACCCAGAAAAUAUUCUAAGUGUCCAGAAAAUAUUAUUUUGGAAAAUGUCAGGCCUUAUAUCUCGGUUAUCUUUAAUGUGUUUUGUGUUCUAAAGGUUGAUAUGUGUAUCUUGUUAUGUGGUAUUUAACCUCCAAAAAGAAUCAGGUCCAUAUAUAUUACGGAUUAAGAGUUAUUUAAGGUCAAAGUGGGUUGACCGGCAUUGACCAGAAAAUUCUGGGCAGCCCAGAAUUUUCUAAGUGUUAAUUUUUCUGACAAGGUUUGACCAUACUUUAGAUGCUUGAUUUCUUGUUUUUAUGAUGAUGUUAAGUGUUAGAGUUGUAGUCCUACAUGUUGUCUACACACUGGAAUUGAUAGAUCACAUAAACGUUACACGAUCAUCAAGUUAUAGAGGUCCAAAGUAGGCACCUCGAACUGUUCUUCGUGAAGAACAGCUUUGGUAGCUACUUUGAUGGCUGAUUUAUCCCAGAUCUGAUGUUUGUUUAGAGGUUAUGAUUGUUGGAUCUUGUAGUCUUGUAUUUCCUCUACAAGACCCAAUUUAUAGAUUGUCCAAAUUCGUUAAGAUGAGAGAGUUAUUCACGGUCAAAGUAGGCCACUCGGUUCUGCCUUAUGAAGAUCUGGGUAGGCUCAAGAACACCUAUAGCGACACUUCUGUCACUAUAGGGGCCUUUAGCGACAGUUUUAAUUAUUUUAAUUUCUGAUUUUCCGAAAAAUGAUUUAAAAAUUAGAAAAAUUAGAUUUUAAUUAUUAAAAAUACCAAAUAAAUUAUGAAAAAUUAUUUUAAAGUCUGAAAAAUAGUUUUUAAUUAUUUUGAGUAUAUUUCAUAAAUAUUUAAUAUUUUUGGAAUAUAAAAGGUAUUUAUUUAUUUAAUUAUAAUAUUAAAUAAAUGAUUUAAAAAUAGUUUUAAUUCAUGAAAAAUCAUGAAAAAUUAUAUUAUGGUAUAAGAAAAUAUUUUAAGUUAUUUCCCAUGACUUUUAAUAUUUUGUGAUGAAUUUCAUUAAUUAAUUAUAUAUUAAUGAUAUUAAAGUUAUUUAAUGAUUAUAUUAAAUAAUUUAGUUUAAAAAUGAUUUUAAUAUUAUAAAAAUCAUUUUAAAUGAAAUUAAGGUAUUUAAAAAUAUUUUAAGUUAUAAAAUAUAACUUUUAAUAUUUAAAGGAUAAUUUCAUUAAUAAUUUAAUAUUAAUGAUAUUAAGAUAAUAUUAAUGAUAUUUAGUUUAUUUAAUAAUUAUUAUUAAAUAAAUAGUUUAAAAAUGGUUUUAUUUAUUUAAAAAUCAUUUAAAGAGGAUAUUAAGGAUUUAAAAAUAUUUUAAGUUAUAAUUAAUGACUUUUAAUAUUUGGAUGAAUAGUACAUUAAUAUUUAUAUAUUAAUGGUGAUUAUUUAAAAAUGAUUUUAAUUGUUUUAAAAAUCAUUUAAGGGUAAUAUAAAUGUUUUAAAAAUAGUUUGAGUUAUUAUAAAUAACUUUUAUAUUUUGGCAAUGGUUUCAUUAAUAGUUUAAUAUAAAUUAAUUAUUAAUGAUAAUGGAAUUGUUUAAUGUUUAAAUCAUUUAAUUAUGAUUCCGAUGUUUGAAAGUUAUAGCCGGCCAAACUAGCUGACUUGAGAACCGAUUAUGAAGUUAUGAAGUUUUGAGGAACACCUAUAGUAACAGUUAUAUCACUAUAGGCCCGGUAGUGACAGAUUUGAAUUAUUUUAAAUUUUUCAAUUUCUGGAAAAUUCGAAAAUGAUUAAAAAUAAAAUGUUUGAUAUUUACAGAUGUUGAGGUAUAGGAUAAGAGUCUUAGACUCAGUAUUUACCCGAUAAAGCUGUCGGUACGCCGACAAAUGUCAGACCCUAUAAUAGAAAGAAAAGACUUCUGUAAGAGCAUGGAUGAGAUAUUUGAAAAAUGUAUAAAAAUAUUUCAAGUAUAGAAUAUGAACUAAAAGUAUGAUCACUGCGAUUAUGUGAUGACGUGAUUAGACUAUGUGCUGACUGUAAUAGACAGUACUAUGUGUUAUGAUAUAUUGUUCUAAUCGAACGAAUGAUCUGAUUAUUGAUAGGUUGUGAUAAAGAGAUAAAACCUAAGUUGAGAUUUGUAAUCAGCGAAUCAGGCAAGUAUCUUACCUUUGCAUUUCCUUUAUGCAAUGGACAUGAGUAAGAAGUUUCAGAAUUAUUCUAUUCCUGUACAGAUUAUGUACGCUUUGAUUAUCAACAUGUUAGCUCAGAUAUAUAUUCUGUUAAGUUGAUUUCUAAAUGGUUAUACAAGUGUCCCCACUUGGAUAAUCAUGGCAUUUAUUCACAUGUUGAUAUACCUUUGUCAAUUACCCGUAUACAUAUAUGUUGAAUUACAUAUUAUUGUUGAGCAAGAUUAAAAACCUUCGGGUUUGGAACCAGGCAUGUAUGAACAUCCCGAUAAUGGGAAAAUUUUUAUGCGCUUCGGCGGACAAAGGGUGAGCGAUGAAUUUCGUUCAAGUUAUGUAGUAUUGAUCAAUACAGGGUACAACGGGGCUGAUCACCCUCCGUGCCCGUAAGUUAUGACGGUUUGCGGAUGAAUUUCUGCUAAACCUUUUCGAAAAUGAAAAACAAUGUUCAUAGUAUGUUUCUUUAAACCCUAUUCAUGGGUGGAGCCUAAUUUCAAGAAAUUGAAAGAGAGUUGUUAUGUGAAUCUUUUAUCAGUACAGAUUACUUCACAACUUUUAAUUCGUUGUAGAAGUGUUAUGGAAAGAGAAUACUUAUAUUCUUUCAGCUUAUAUAUAUAAUUGCUAUUACUUGCUGGGCACUCGAAUGCUCAUCCUUGCUUAAACUAAAUGUUUUCAGUUACCUACGAUCGACCUGAAGGCUCAGGCACGAACAAGGGAAAAGAAAAGCUGUUCGAAUGAGAAUUAGUAUGAGUUAAUGGUUAUAGUUAGGAAGACAAUGGAAUCUAUUGUCAGGUAUUGUAAGGAAUGUAUUUUGAAGGUCACGUACCUGGGAAAGUAAACUUUGAUGUAUGUAAAUUAAGUUCGAAUUAUAUUAUUAUUUAGUAUUAUUCAGCUUAAAGAAAUGGUAUCGUGGAGAACCGAGUUCGGGUUUCAAGUACCUGGAUUUGGG
RNAcentral lists this long non-coding RNA (3609 nucleotides) under Panax ginseng (ginseng). Its description in RNAcentral is "long non-coding RNA (PGIN_LNC011771)". The record is from RNAcentral. Lineage: Eukaryota; Viridiplantae; Streptophyta; Magnoliopsida; Apiales; Araliaceae.